RNAcentral lists this transfer RNA (59 nucleotides) under Dipodomys ordii (Ord's kangaroo rat). It matches the Rfam family "tRNA", at positions 7 to 64 of the family's 71-position model. From Rfam's summary of the family: Transfer RNA (tRNA) molecules are approximately 80 nucleotides in length. Their secondary structure includes four short double-helical elements and three loops (D, anti-codon, and T loops). Lineage: Eukaryota; Metazoa; Chordata; Mammalia; Rodentia; Heteromyidae. The record is from Rfam by way of RNAcentral.
GUGACUCAGUGGUAGAGUGCUUGCCUUGUAUGCAUGAGGUCUGGGUUCGAUCCCUCAGC